RNAcentral lists this ribosomal RNA (165 nucleotides) under Omphalotaceae sp. RNAcentral describes it as "partial large subunit ribosomal RNA". The record is from RNAcentral. Lineage: Eukaryota; Fungi; Basidiomycota; Agaricomycetes; Agaricales; Omphalotaceae.
CAUCAGUUUUGACCAUUGGAUAAAGGUAGAUUGAAUGUGGCAUCCUCGGAUGUGUUAUAGCUUUUUACCGUAUACAGUGGUUGGGACUGAGGAACUCAGCACGCCGCAAGGCCGGGUUUUUAACCACGUUCGUGCUUAGGAUGCUGGCAUAAUGGCUUUAAUCGA